RNAcentral lists this ribosomal RNA (1370 nucleotides) under uncultured bacterium. RNAcentral's name for it is "bacterial SSU rRNA". It matches the Rfam family "Bacterial small subunit ribosomal RNA", at positions 28 to 1381 of the family's 1533-position model. The record is from RNAcentral.
GAUGAACGCUGGCGGCGUGCCUAAUACAUGCAAGUCGAGCGAACGGACGAGAAGCUUGCUUCUCUGAUGUUAGCGGCGGACGGGUGAGUAACACGUGGAUAACCUACCUAUAAGGCUGGGAUAACUUCGGGAAACCGGAGCUAAUACCGGAUAAUAUUUUGAACCGCAUGGUUCAAAAGUGAAAGACGGUCUUGCUGUCACUUAUAGAUGGAUCCGCGCUGCAUUAGCUAGUUGGUAAGGUAACGGCUUACCAAGGCAACGAUGCAUAGCCGACCUGAGAGGGUGAUCGGCCACACUGGAACUGAGACACGGUCCAGACUCCUACGGGAGGCAGCAGUAGGGAAUCUUCCGCAAUGGGCGAAAGCCUGACGGAGCAACGCCGCGUGAGUGAUGAAGGUCUUCGGAUCGUAAAACUCUGUUAUUAGGGAAGAACAUAUGUGUAAGUAACUGUGCACAUCUUGACGGUACCUAAUCAGAAAGCCACGGCUAACUACGUGCCAGCAGCCGCGGUAAUACGUAGGUGGCAAGCGUUAUCCGGAAUUAUUGGGCGUAAAGCGCGCGUAGCGGUUUUUUAGUCUGAUGUGAAAGCCCACGGCUCAACCGUGGAGGGUCAUUGGAAACUGGAAAACUUGAGUGCAGAAGAGGAAAGUGGAAUUCCAUGUGUAGCGGUGAAAUGCGCAGAGAUAUGGAGGAACACCGGUGGCGAAGGCGACUUUCUGGUCUGUAACUGACGCUGAUGUGCGAAAGCGUGGGGAUCAAACAGGAUUAGAUACCCUGGUAGUCCACGCCGUAAACGAUGAGUGCUAAGUGUUAGGGGGUUUCCGCCCCUUAGUGCUGCAGCUAACGCAUUAAGCACUCCGCCUGGGGAGUACGACCGCAAGGUUGAAACUCAAAGGAAUUGACGGGGACCCGCACAAGCGGUGGAGCAUGUGGUUUAAUUCGAAGCAACGCGAAGAACCUUACCAAAUCUUGACAUCCUUUGACAACUCUAGAGAUAGAGCCUUCCCCUUCGGGGGACAAAGUGACAGGUGGUGCAUGGUUGUCGUCAGCUCGUGUCGUGAGAUGUUGGGUUAAGUCCCGCAACGAGCGCAACCCUUAAGCUUAGUUGCCAUCAUUAAGUUGGGCACUCUAAGUUGACUGCCGGUGACAAACCGGAGGAAGGUGGGGAUGACGUCAAAUCAUCAUGCCCCUUAUGAUUUGGGCUACACACGUGCUACAAUGGACAAUACAAAGGGCAGCGAAACCGCGAGGUCAAGCAAAUCCCAUAAAGUUGUUCUCAGUUCGGAUUGUAGUCUGCAACUCGACUACAUGAAGCUGGAAUCGCUAGUAAUCGUAGAUCAGCAUGCUACGGUGAAUACGUUCCCGGGUCU